UGAGCAAUCUGCCCUUCACAUCGGAAUAACCAUUGGAAACGAUGGCUAAUACCGAAUAUGACUUCGGAUCGCAUGAUCUGAAGUGGAAAGCUCCGGCGGUGAAGGAUGAGCUCGCGGCCUAUCAGCUCGUUGGUGAGGUAACGGCUCACCAAGGCGACGACGGGUAGCUGGUCUGAGAGGAUGGCCAGCCCACAGUUGGGACUGAGACCGAGGCCCAACG
This 220-nucleotide ribosomal RNA is filed under the name uncultured bacterium. Its description in RNAcentral is "partial 16S ribosomal RNA". It matches the Rfam family "Bacterial small subunit ribosomal RNA", at positions 118 to 336 of the family's 1533-position model. The record is from RNAcentral.